AGCGAUAUGGUGUAACGGUCGCACACUAGCCUCAUGAGCUAUUAGUUUAAGUUCAAAUCUUAAUGUCGCUA
RNAcentral lists this transfer RNA (71 nucleotides) under Schizopora paradoxa. Its description in RNAcentral is "tRNA-Met". It matches the Rfam family "tRNA". From Rfam's summary of the family: Transfer RNA (tRNA) molecules are approximately 80 nucleotides in length. Their secondary structure includes four short double-helical elements and three loops (D, anti-codon, and T loops). The record is from RNAcentral. Lineage: Eukaryota; Fungi; Basidiomycota; Agaricomycetes; Hymenochaetales; Schizoporaceae.